Molecule: ribosomal RNA, 531 nt
Filed under: Rhodotorula mucilaginosa
Lineage: Eukaryota; Fungi; Basidiomycota; Microbotryomycetes; Sporidiobolales; Sporidiobolaceae
Description: LSU rRNA
Rfam family: Eukaryotic large subunit ribosomal RNA
Source: RNAcentral
AGCUCAAAUUUAUAAUCUGGCACCUUCGGUGUCCGAGUUGUAAUCUCUAGAAAUGUUUUCCGCGUUGGACCGCACACAAGUCUGUUGGAAUACAGCGGCAUAGUGGUGAGACCCCCGUAUAUGGUGCGGACGCCCAGCGCUUUGUGAUACAUUUUCGAAGAGUCGAGUUGUUUGGGAAUGCAGCUCAAAUUGGGUGGUAAAUUCCAUCUAAAGCUAAAUAUUGGCGAGAGACCGAUAGCGAACAAGUACCGUGAGGGAAAGAUGAAAAGCACUUUGGAAAGAGAGUUAACAGUACGUGAAAUUGUUGGAAGGGAAACGCUUGAAGUCAGACUUGCUUGCUGAGCAAUCGGUUUGCAGGCCAGCAUCAGUUUUCCGGGAUGGAUAAUGGUAGAGAGAAGGUAGCAGUUUCGGCUGUGUUAUAGCUCUCUGCUGGAUACAUCUUGGGGGACUGAGGAACGCAGUGUGCCUUUGGCGGGGGUUUCGACCUCUUCACACUUAGGAUGCUGGUGGAAUGGCUUUAAACGACCCGUC